Molecule: ribosomal RNA, 526 nt
Filed under: Phrontis cf. alba LAG-2016
Lineage: Eukaryota; Metazoa; Mollusca; Gastropoda; Neogastropoda; Nassariidae
Description: partial 16S ribosomal RNA
Rfam family: Bacterial large subunit ribosomal RNA
Source: RNAcentral
AAAAACAUCGCUCCUUGAAAUUAAAUAAUAAGGAGUCGGACCUGCCCAGUGAAAUUUUUUAACGGCCGCGGUACUCUGACCGUGCAAAGGUAGCAUAAUCAUUUGCCUUAUAAUUGAAGGCUAGUAUGAAUGGUUUGACAAGAAUAUAGCUGUCUCUUUAUGAUUCAAUAGAAUUUUAUUUAUAGGUGAAGAAGCCUAUAUUAGAUUAAAAGACAAGAAGACCCUAUCGAGCUUACAAAGAAUUUAAUAGAAUUUAAAUUAAUAUAAUUAAAAAAUUAUCUAUUACACAUUUUAGUUGGGGCGACUGAGGAACACAUAAAGCUUCCUUUAAAAUUUAUUUAAAAUUCUAACUAGAGUUGAUCCAAACGUUUUGAUUAAAGGAAUUAGUUACCGUAGGGAUAACAGCAUUAUCUUUUUUGAGAGCCCAUAUCGAAAAAAAGGUUUGUGACCUCGAUGUGGACCAGAAUAUCCUAAAGAUGCAGCAGUCUUAAGGGUGGGUCUGUUCGACCAUUAAAAUUCUACAUGA